UUAGGGAUCUUCGCUGUGAUUUUUUAGUGACAUCUGAUUUUAGUUGAGGAUUUUUUGUUUGAUUAUUUUUUUUUUUGUAUAUUUAGAUUUGAUAUUGUUUUUCUAUAUUUUAGUUUUAGGAUUAGAGGGGUUUGAGAUUUUAUUUUUAUUAUUAUUUUUAUUUUUUUUUGGUUGCGUGAGGGCUACUUGGAUAUUUGAUGCAUGAGAUUUGUUGCUUUGGAUCUUUG
This 227-nucleotide long non-coding RNA is filed under the name Vitis vinifera (wine grape). Its description in RNAcentral is "long non-coding RNA (VVIN_LNC000537)". Lineage: Eukaryota; Viridiplantae; Streptophyta; Magnoliopsida; Vitales; Vitaceae. The record is from RNAcentral.